UGCGAAGGGUGCAAACGUUGCUCGGAAUCAUUGGGCGUAAAGCGCACGUAGGCGGCUUCAAAAGUCGGAUGUGAAAUCCCUCGGCUCAACCGAGGACGUGCAUCCGAAACUGUGAGGCUUGAGUACUGAAGAGGAUCGCGGAAUUCCUGGUGUAGCGGUGAAAUGCGCAGAUAUCAGGAGGAACACCGGUGGCGAAGGCGGGUCUCUGGGCCGAUACUGACGCUGAGGAGCGAAAGCGUGGGGAGCGAACAGG
Molecule: ribosomal RNA, 253 nt
Filed under: uncultured bacterium
Lineage: Bacteria
Description: partial 16S ribosomal RNA
Rfam family: Bacterial small subunit ribosomal RNA
Source: RNAcentral